RNAcentral lists this ribosomal RNA (461 nucleotides) under uncultured bacterium. RNAcentral describes it as "partial 16S ribosomal RNA". It matches the Rfam family "Bacterial small subunit ribosomal RNA", at positions 32 to 507 of the family's 1533-position model. The record is from RNAcentral.
AACGCUGGCGGCGUGCUUAACACAUGCAAGUCGAACGGUAAGGCUCCAGCUUGCUGGGGUACACGAGUGGCGAACGGGUGAGUAACACGUGGGUGACCUGCCCUGCACUUCGGGAUAAGCCUGGGAAACUGGGUCUAAUACCGGAUAGGACCGCACCGUGAGGGUGUGGUGGAAAGUUUUUUCGGUGUGGGAUGGGCCCGCGGCCUAUCAGCUUGUUGGUGGGGUAAUGGCCUACCAAGGCGGCGACGGGUAGCCGGCCUGAGAGGGUGGACGGCCACAUUGGGACUGAGACACGGCCCAGACUCCUACGGGAGGCAGCAGUGGGGAAUAUUGCACAAUGGGCGGAAGCCUGAUGCAGCGACGCCGCGUGGGGGAUGACGGCCUUCGGGUUGUAAACUCCUUUCACCAUCGACGAAGGGUUUCUGACGGUAGAUGGAGAAGAAGCACCGGCUAACUACGUG